RNAcentral lists this transfer RNA (72 nucleotides) under Dendronephthya gigantea. Its description in RNAcentral is "tRNA-Glu". It matches the Rfam family "tRNA". From Rfam's summary of the family: Transfer RNA (tRNA) molecules are approximately 80 nucleotides in length. Lineage: Eukaryota; Metazoa; Cnidaria; Anthozoa; Malacalcyonacea; Nephtheidae. The record is from RNAcentral.
UCCCAUGUGGUCUAGUGGCUAGGAUCUGGCGUUUUCACCGCCACGGCCCGGGUUCGAUUCCCGGCGUGGGAA